This 490-nucleotide ribosomal RNA is filed under the name uncultured bacterium. Its description in RNAcentral is "bacterial SSU rRNA". It matches the Rfam family "Bacterial small subunit ribosomal RNA", at positions 28 to 513 of the family's 1533-position model. The record is from RNAcentral.
GGUGAACGCUAGCGGCAGGCUUAAUACAUGCAAGUCGAGGGGCAACAGGGGUAGCAAUACCUGCUGGCGACCGGCAAACGGGUGCGGAACACGUACAGAACCUUCCUUUAAGCGGGGGAUAGCCCAUAGAAAUGUGGAUUAAUACCCCAUAGUAAUGUUGAGUGGCAUCACAUGACAUUUAAAGAUUUAUCACUUAAAGAUGGCUGUGCGGCUGAUUAGGUAGUUGGNGGGGUAACGGCCCACCAAGCCAGCGAUCAGUAACUGGUGUGAGAGCACGACCAGUCACACGGGCACUGAGACACGGGCCCGACUCCUACGGGAGGCAGCAGUAAGGAAUAUUGGUCAAUGGACGCAAGUCUGAACCAGCCAUGCCGCGCGGAGGAUUAAGGCCCUCUGGGUUGUAAACUCCUUUUAUCUGGGAAGAAAUGCUAUUUUUUCUAAAGUGCUUGACGGUACCAGAGAAUAAGCACCGGCUAACUCCGUGCCAGCA